RNAcentral lists this long non-coding RNA (225 nucleotides) under Elaeis guineensis (African oil palm). Its description in RNAcentral is "long non-coding RNA (EGUI_LNC024338)". Lineage: Eukaryota; Viridiplantae; Streptophyta; Magnoliopsida; Arecales; Arecaceae. The record is from RNAcentral.
GGCUGCAGCUGCACGGCUCUUGGCCCAACGGCCAUCCACUCUGACAAACCCUAAAUGCCGAAGGAAGUGGUUAUUGUAGAUGUCAGUGUUUGACAAUCUACAAACAAUCUCUCUUUUCAAAGCUCACUUUAGACUUCCUAAAUAUCACUGUCAGGGCCAUUCUAUAAGGCAAGAGAGCUUUGGAUCUAUACAAGGCCUCCCUCAUGGCAUCAAUCAUCAGGAAUG